UUUAAAUAUUUCUGCUCGAGCUUGGAGGCGUCAUUCUGACUCGAAGUUUAGGAAAGCACACAUUAAAGUUUGUGCAAAACUUCGCUUUAACGAAACGUUUUCGAAAUAAAAUCGUUAUGCCAUGCUGAGGGAAAGGUCAGUAUUAAAUUUAGCUAUUUUUUGAACGUUUUUGAGUUGUUCUUGUUAAGUUAUUGCUGUUUUUUAAAACACGUGUCUAUAUUCAUUGUAGUACGUAUUCAAUUUGAUUCCCAUUCAAGCGCUUCGUUUCAGCGCUGAGUCGCUUUAUUUUCUCAGUGUCUAUCCCUAAUUUCCUAGCAGUAAUGUUCAGAAAUACCCCAUCUUUGAUUCAUUUAACUCACAUUUAAUUUAUCUGCAAUUUCAGGGCGAAAAUUUGAAGAGAAAGUGAACUAAUUUAAGUCUCCAACAUGGUGGAAAUACCAAAGCACAUGGUAAGCAUAAUUAUUAACAUCCAUUAUAGGCGUUUCCUUCUUGUUUGUUUCUCGUUUUUAAGCUUCCCCAAUACACCUAGAACAUCCUCUAGCAUUGCUUUGUCGCCUUAUGAACACUCUGAGUCAAGUUUAGUUAAAUAUUGGUGAAACUUCUGUUCAUACCGAGCGAAUUGCAGACUUAUUUUAGGCAUGUUCAAUUUCACAUGCAGGGGGUGUGGCAUAUCAUUUUCGAACAUUUUAGCUUUUACAAACUUGUCGUUUUAUAUGUACAAAUUGUUCUCUGAGAGGGAAGGCUAAGCUUUUCGAGUUUCUUGAGGUUGUCUAAGUUGAAUUUCAUCGAAUAUUUUUACGAAUUUUAGAGAUGAAAAAUGUCCUCGUGGUUCAUGCCCUAAUUUUAUGCAUAGAUGCAUGCAUUCUUUAAAAUAUUGAAUUGGAAAACCACACCCUGUGUAAACGACAUUGAAUAACUCUUCGUUGUUUUGAAACUAAAAAUUCAUUGUCCAAUUUUUUUUAGACUGCCUCAAAGUCGAUAAUUUCGAUGGCAAACAGUACAGAAAGACCUCUGCGCAGAUUUGUAGAGGCGCUCGCCUAGCAGUCGAAGCAAAACGAGAAAGACAAGAAGGCAAAGGACAAAUGAGAACGUGCAGCCACCACCUCGAUUCCUUUUGCGAACCCACAGCAUUCAUUGUCAGAUUUCGCUUGUGCAAAGUUUGGACGAGAUUGCCACUCAUCCAGGGACAGUAACGAAAGCAGAUCACCCAUCAUCAGAUUUCGUUCAAUCGACCAAUUGUGAAUGAGAUGCAAAGACCUGGCAAGCGACAGUCGACGCCGUACCAUCCAGAGACCAUAACCAAUACGUCAUACCAUCGUGAAAGAUGUUCUACAUUCAGAAGGUAUUUUUCCUCGUGAUUCUCGUUGUGCGUGUUCGAAGUACGUGGGCCCACCCUGAGGACGCCCAAAUGCACAAAACAAAUUUAAAUGUGGCACAUUUUUCUUAAUUUCGCAAUUUAUUCAAAUUUUCUACACUUCUUGGUAUUUGUGAAAAGCUCUUAACGAAAUCAAAAUGUUUAAAAUUCGGAAGUUUCUAUCUGGGAGUUUGUUUAUUUGAAAGAUAUUAGAAAUGAAAUUUUGAAGUUUACAUCACUUUGGUAUUUGGUUUAAAUGCUAGGUAAAAUCAUGCCAGAGGAGUGGUCGACCAUUCGUCGAAGUUCGGUGAUACUUCGGCUCGGACUUUCCCGACCUACAGUUGAGUUGCUCUGAUCGAUUGUCGUGAUCAACUAGCGCAAAUGUAAAGUCUGGCCAACCUUGCGUUUGUGCUUUUUGUUCGUGGCAUGAGAUUGGGACAGCUCGCCUGUAGGCCUGGAAAGAUCAAGCGGAAGUACCACCAAACUUUGAUUUGUGGCCGUCUUUUUGUCUGAGUGGCUUUAUCCAGCGUUUUCCCGUUAUCAUUUUGCUGUUGACUUUGGGAUUUUGGCUUGACUAUCUUUAAUAUAAACAUUCUUUGAGGUUUAAUCUUUCAAGAAUUUUAUGGUUUUUGACUAGUUAAUGUGUUUCUCGCAGAUACUAUAAUUGUAUUAAAAAUAUUGACAAACAAAAAUUAAAACUGACCAAAACGUCAUUUUGAGGUGUCUGAUGGGAGGGCCAGUGGGAGUCGUAGCGGAUAUCAAUGGAUAAAUACGGAUUACUGUGACACUGUGUACUAUUGGAAAUAUUGUGAACAUUUAUGGAUAAUUGUGAACAUUAAAUGGAUAAAGAAACACUUACGAAUUAUUAUGAACAUUUGUGGAUAAAAUGUACCUCACGAUCGACGGUUACCUACCAAUGUACCUCGACAACGAAAGCUGCACGACGGCAACGAGAUGACUGUCUCAAGGUUAGAGGGUUUAGUCUGAUAACAAGCAGCUGUUAGCUUGUUAUCAGGCAGUAGUUAGCCUGCUAUCAGGCACUAGUUAGCCUGCUAACAGGCAGUAUAUCUGUACGAUUCAUACCCAGGACUCUAAUUUGCAUGUGGUCGGUAAAGUCUCUGGGUUAACCGGUUUAAAUUCCUGGCGGUCUGCGGUCAGUAGUACAUUUGCACGCAAGGUUGAUUUUUUAUUCAGAUGCUUGCAUGCUAAUAAGAAAUUGAGGUACCUUUUUGACCUCAGUUAAUCGGAAUUUCGACAUCAUCUGCAAUCGAAAGUCAAUCUUAAGAGGUUAACAUUUGAGCUUCCGGUCACGUGGUUCUUUGCAUGCACUCGGUUCGGUUAUUGGUGGGUUUCAGUAAGUGUUACAGUCCAGACGAGGGAGCAAUUUAUUUGCUUCAAAUACAAGACUACUACAUAAAAUGAAAAAGGGUAAACAUUAUUUUUUCACUCUAGUAACUCGUACUGAGACCCACUAGCUAUUUGCGGUCUGUUCGUGCUAAUGUUCUUCUCUUUGUGUAAAUGUACUGCUUAGGUGUCUCCGUGUCUGUGCAUGGAUAAACGCAGCGCGCAGCUAGUAUUCAGAGUAUAGGCAGACAAGUAAAACCGUGCCAGACUUAAAAUUUUGUUUAUAUCAAUAUGUUAUGUUCAUAAAUGUAUAGAAAUAUCAUGAAAUGUAUUAGAUUUUGGCUUGGGGUUAAAUCUAACCCUAUAACCUUAACCUUAAUUAAUUCAUUACAUGAUCUGUAUAUUUGUGUACGUAAAAUAAUGGUGUAGGCAAAAUUUUGUUGAAAAGCUGGCAUAGUUUUUCUUGGGUAGGAUAACUAAACUGGAUGCAAAUGGUAUCCAUAGCUUAGAGGGUGCAAAUGGUACCCGUAAGAAGAUUGGUGGAUAUCGUUGUGGACAAGAUUUUUUGAGAGAUGUGGAUUCUCGCCGGGUACUCCGGUUUCCACAAACAGAAAGAUCAGUUUAGGACUGUAAUAACACAAUUAUUGUAAUAAUAAAUAGUCUAGUAUAUUUCAUCGCCCGUAGUGCAUGUAUAUCGCUGGUUUCGAACGUUAGUUUUCUGCCCCGAGUUAUAUGAAAACAGUUCGCUACCAGAGAUUAGGUUCCCUCUCUGUUAUGGCGGCUCGACGAUAGAAGACAUUAACAUAAGGCAUGCAAACCUUACCCCUGUUUGUGGAAGCUCAUCAGGUGCAAUAGCACACUAGGUUAAGUUAAUUAAGCUAGGGGCAUGACCGAGACUCCACACUCGGGGGUUUCCCUUGCAGGUUUUUGAAAGUGUAUGUGUGCGCGCGCACUAGUUAGGAAGGUUAGGCAGCUAGAAAUAGGGCGUGCAUACUAUAAGGCAUGUAUAUACUGUAAUUCAGUAAUGUGAUACUUUUGCGCCAGUAACUUUCUGACAAGUAUUUAACACAACAGGAAAAUGGAUCUGUUUUCCUGCUGAAAAAUACUUACAGAACCAAUUCAAAGUGGAAAAAAGGAAAUAUUGCGAAAAAGAGAAAAAUAAAACAGAAAAAACCACUUUGAAUAUAAGCAACAAUAAUCCAAGAAUACUCAUCGCAGAAAAAAACAACAAAAAAGAAACGCUUUUCUGCCUAAAAUAUCUUGGAUUAGGAGCUUAAAGAUAAGAAACGUAGUUCUCGCUCCAAAGUGGAGAAGAGGCUCGUUUCUUUAGGUUGCUAAUGCAUUGCGCGUGCGCGUUUUAUAAAUUGUACUAUAAGUUUUCAGUUGAAAAGACCGCCAGGUAAUAGGGUGUUUUCACGUGUUGCUUUGUUGACGGACAAGUAUUUUAAAACAGUGGUUUUCUUGCUUACUUGUAUUUCGG
Molecule: non-coding RNA, 4178 nt
Organism: Paramuricea clavata
Lineage: Eukaryota; Metazoa; Cnidaria; Anthozoa; Malacalcyonacea; Plexauridae
Source: the annotation of a GenBank genome assembly